CGAGUGAACAGGGAAAAGCCCAACACCGAAGCCUGUGGCUGUUUGGUCACUAGGCAAUGUGGUGUUCAGGUCAUUCCGCAGAGGCACUGCUCCAACCCUAAGUCCAACAAUGAGUACGGUUACUCGGACAUGGCCCAGGGAGGGUGAAAGGCCCGUGUGGGUGGAGCUCAGGAAGGCUAGUGCUUCUCUGGAUAGACCUUGGAGUCGGGUUGUUUGUGAAUGCAGCCCAAAGUGGGUGGUAAACUCCAUCCAAGGCUAAAUACUAACACGAGUCCGAUAGCGAACAAGUACCGUGAGGGAAAGUUGAAAAGUACUUUGAAGAGAGAGUAAACAGUGCGUGAAACCGCUCAGAGGUAAACGGGUGGAGUUGAACUGCAAGCUCUGGGAAUUCAGCUGGUGAGUGUGGUUUGGGCUUGGUCAAAGUGGUUGUUGUCUGGGGUCUGCGUAGCAGCAGGUCUCUGCCCUCGGGUGGGGAUGUGCGAUACACUUAUCAAGUGUUGUGCGCCUCGGAGCAAUCGGGCCUGCUCGCCAGUGCACUUUCUCAGAGUGGUCACCACGACCGGCACUGCUGUCUGGCUGUUGUGGUUAAACCGGUCUUGCAUUGGCCUUGUGUCUUUGCUUGGUCGGGAUGGCAGGUAGCCCGUUGGCUUGUCUGUGGCUUGCCGCAGGCGCCCGGCUUUCGGGUGUAAUCAGCUGACCGUGAUGGUUCUGUGCAGUGUGUCGGAGACGGCGGCUUGUGGUGCAUGCGUGCGUGGCCUUGUGCUGGCGGGUCUGAGUUUGGUUGCUAUGUUGCUUGUUCAAGCAGGCCUGGCGAUGGCUCGGAUCUGUUCGGUGCUUGGUGGCGUUCGUGGUGCUAAUACCAGGGCCAAUAGUC
Molecule: ribosomal RNA, 874 nt
Filed under: Acanthocolpidae sp. VII LJB-2009
Lineage: Eukaryota; Metazoa; Platyhelminthes; Trematoda; Opisthorchiida; Acanthocolpidae
Description: eukaryotic LSU rRNA
Rfam family: Eukaryotic large subunit ribosomal RNA
Source: RNAcentral